GACGAACGCUGGCGGCGUGCUUAACACAUGCAAGUCGAACGGAAAGGCCCUGCUUUUGUGGGGUGCUCGAGUGGCGAACGGGUGAGUAACACGUGAGUAACCUGCCCUUGACUUUGGGAUAACUUCGGGAAACUGGGGCUAAUACCGGAUAGGAGCUCCUGCUGCAUGGUGGGGGUUGGAAGGUUUCGGCGGUUGGGGAUGGACUCGCGGCUUAUCAGCUUGUUGGUGGGGUAGUGGCUUACCAAGGCUUUGACGGGUAGCCGGCCUGAGAGGGUGACCGGCCACAUUGGGACUGAGAUACGGCCCAGACUCCUACGGGAGGCAGCAGUGGGGAAUAUUGCACAAUGGGCGGAAGCCUGAUGCAGCAACGCCGCGUGCGGGAUGACGGCCUUCGGGUUGUAAACCGCUUUCGCCUGUGACGAAGCGUGAGUGACGGUAAUGGGUAAAGAAGCACCGGCUAACUACGUG
RNAcentral lists this ribosomal RNA (468 nucleotides) under uncultured bacterium. Its description in RNAcentral is "partial 16S ribosomal RNA". It matches the Rfam family "Bacterial small subunit ribosomal RNA", at positions 28 to 507 of the family's 1533-position model. The record is from RNAcentral.